Molecule: ribosomal RNA, 149 nt
Filed under: Sticta fuliginosa
Lineage: Eukaryota; Fungi; Ascomycota; Lecanoromycetes; Peltigerales; Lobariaceae
Also listed under: 1 other name
Description: 5.8S ribosomal RNA
Rfam family: 5.8S ribosomal RNA
About the family: 5.8S ribosomal RNA (5.8S rRNA) is a component of the large subunit of the eukaryotic ribosome.
Source: RNAcentral
CAACAACGGAUCUCUUGGUUCUGGCAUCGAUGAAGAACGCAGCGAAAUGCGAUAAGUAAUGUGAAUUGCAGAAUUCAGUGAAUCAUCGAAUCUUUGAACGCACAUUGCGCCCCUUGGCAUUCCGAGGGGCAUACCUGUUCGAGCGUCAU